Molecule: long non-coding RNA, 474 nt
Filed under: Homo sapiens (human)
Lineage: Eukaryota; Metazoa; Chordata; Mammalia; Primates; Hominidae
Description: HSALNT0080814
Source: RNAcentral
AACAGCCUAUAAACCGCCACUCAUUUCCCUGACAAAUUCAGCUGGAUUACUGCACUUGUCUCCUGGCUCAUCUCCCUGCUUCUGCCUGCCGCGCUUCGGUUUAUUCUCAACACAGUCCACUUAAAACAAACUGGAGACGAGGCCACCACUCCUCCAUUCAAGCUUUCACUGGCUGCCAUCUAUUUCUAGGGAGAAAUAAUCUCACUGUCUUCCCAAGAAAGGAUAAAUCUUGGCUUUUCCGGGCAUGGUGGCACAUGCAUGUACUCCCAGCUACUCGGGAGGCUGAGGCAGAAGAAUCACUAGAACCCAGGAGGCGGAGGUUGCAGUGAGCCGAGAUUGUGCCACUGCACUCCAGCCUGGGCAACAGCAGAGAAACUCCAUCUCAAAAACAAACAAACAAAAAAAAUAUUGGCUUUUGACACCCACCCUUCAUAUCACAGUCCGACCAAACCCCAACCCGUUCAUUGUCAGAAC